Long non-coding RNA from Felis catus (domestic cat), 476 nucleotides. RefSeq lists it as uncharacterized. The transcript is spliced from 4 exons. NCBI's taxonomy places the organism in Eukaryota, Metazoa, Chordata, Mammalia, Carnivora, Felidae. The record is from RefSeq and is a predicted model, not a curated record.
CAGGCAAGUUAGGUCACUUCAGAGAAAUGUGGCAAGGAUUAACAGAGGUGAUACAGUUCCUGGCACAGUGCCUGACACCUACUCAGUGGGGUGGCAGUGGAAUGGAGCAGCAAUGAAGAGAACACUGAAACAGGCUGGGCACUCCCAUCCACCAUGAUCUCUGCCAGAUCAUCUUCCAAGGCACGUAUACAAGAGAAAGGCCUGUGCCCAGGAUCUGCCUCCCCCCGUGAAACCGCCCAAGGAUACACAGAGCUAUCUGUUCCUGCUAGAAUUCUGGUCCGUGAGAAAACACUGGCAUGGGCUGACACAAGGAGUCAGUGCUUAAAGCUGCACUCCUCUCGAACUUCUUGUUGGGGGAAACAGAAAGAAUAGUCCUUUGGCCUCCACUCACCUGGAACAGAUCAAAUGACAUCACAAUUCCAUCCCUCCAUCGCAAUGCAGCAGGUUAUCCUGAAAAUAAAAGACAUCCAAACUCA